AAGUCGUAACAAGGUUUCCGUAGGUGAACCUGCGGAAGGAUCAUUAAUGAAAAAAGAUUAAUCGCCCCGUUUUUGUUCGUCAAUCGGGUUCUAAUCCCACAACCGUGUCUACCUACCUUUGUUGCUUUGGCAGGCCGCCUUCGGGCGUCGGCUCCGGCUGACUGUGCCUGCCAGAGGACCCAAACUCUGUGUUUAGUGAUGUCUGAGUACUAUAUAAUAUUUAAAACUUUCAACAACGGAUCUCUUGGUUCUG
Molecule: unclassified non-coding RNA, 253 nt
Filed under: Hyaloscypha sp.
Lineage: Eukaryota; Fungi; Ascomycota; Leotiomycetes; Helotiales; Hyaloscyphaceae
Description: partial contains small subunit ribosomal RNA, internal transcribed spacer 1, and 5.8S ribosomal RNA
Rfam family: Eukaryotic small subunit ribosomal RNA (bases 1-46)
Source: RNAcentral